RNAcentral lists this ribosomal RNA (412 nucleotides) under uncultured bacterium. Its description in RNAcentral is "partial 16S ribosomal RNA". It matches the Rfam family "Bacterial small subunit ribosomal RNA", at positions 360 to 773 of the family's 1533-position model. The record is from RNAcentral.
AAUAUUGGGCAAUGGAGGGAACGCUGACGCAGCGACGCCGCGUGAGCGAAGAAGGUCUUCGGAUCGUAAAGCUCUGUUCUUGGGGAAGAAGGGAGCCGUAAGGCUUCUUGACGAUACCCAUGGAGGCAGCCCCGGCUAACUACGUGCCAGCAGCCGCGGUAAUACGUAGGGGGCAAGCGUUGUCCGGAAUUAUUGGGCGUAAAGGGUGCGUAAGCGGCCCUUUAAGUCCGAUGUGAAAGCCCACGGCUUAACCGUGGGACUGCAUUUGAAACUGGAGGGCUUGAGUGUCGGAGAGGGCAGUGGAAUUCCCAGUGUAGCGGUGGAAUGCGUAGAUACUGGGAGGAACACCAGUGGCGAAGGCGACUGCCUGGACGAUAACUGACGCUGAGGCACGAAAGCUAGGGGAGCAAAC